Myxocyprinus asiaticus (Chinese sucker) is the source of this 1625-nucleotide long non-coding RNA. RefSeq lists it as uncharacterized. Lineage: Eukaryota; Metazoa; Chordata; Actinopteri; Cypriniformes; Catostomidae. The record is from RefSeq and is a predicted model, not a curated record. The transcript is spliced from 3 exons.
GUAACACUGAACUAAACAACCAGUAAAGCUCUACACAGUGAACUGCCAAAGAGAGGUUGAUCAAAAAACACUUAAGAGGAAGGAAUAUGAGCACUCCACAGGAUGCUGGAUUUGCUCAAGUUUUGUGAGACAAGACCGUUAGGAGAAACAGGGAACUGUUGAGCAGAGACAGGGAGAAUGGAACAGAAUGGACAUUCUGUCCUGGAUGGCUCCACUUCUGCUGCACAACUUCUGAUUUACUGCUUAGAAACGUCCGGAGUUCACCAACACACCACUGAGCGUUAAAGCAGACGGAUGGAGUGGCAUAAAGACAGAAAACGCACACAUCCAAAUAUGCAUCCUAGCCAAAAAAAAAAGUGUUUCUUUCUGAAGAAAAUGUUAUGUUUGCAGGAACAGAGACUCUGAAUGCAAAUUCAGCACAGUGCUUUCCACCACACACACGCACACACACGCAGUAACCCUUAGGCCAUGUGUGAUCAGAUCCAGUUGGUUGUGUUAGAGGAAAGGGCCUCUUCCAUCUAAACACAUUAUAUCUCUGUUAGCCUUGAUGGCACUGAUAUUUCAGUCUGCCAUUCUACUAUUUAAUAACUAUGGGUUAUUCAGCCACCCUUGCAGCUAUUUUCUGUUGAUUGGAUACUUCAUAACCAACAAAGAUCUGUUAUUAUAAUAUUUGGUCUAAUUUCUAUUGCCACACUAAAGGAUGUACAUGUCUUUUGCCUGGUGUUGCUGUCACACUUGCAUAAAAGAUGAGUUUAGGUUAGUUUGGUUUGCUUACAUGCUUUUGUCCGCUGUUUGCCCUUUCAGUUCUGAUUUACUGGAAGUCAUGUAUAUGUUCCCUAAACAAGAUUCUCUUAAAUGAGCACACAAUACUGUAUUUUAAAGAAGCCUUGGAGCCGUGAGGAAUUUCAAAACUUGCUGAGACACACUUUCACACAAAACAUAGAGAAACAUGUACAAUCCCACAUGUGUGGAGAUCAGAGUGAAAGCAGAAGUCUUGGUUUUGAGAGGGUAGCAAUGAGAAUGAUACAGGGUGUGUGCUGGAAACAAAACGGACUUCUUUCCCAUUGGCCUCCACAGAUGGUUUCGUAGUGGCUGAUAAUCUAUAUAAUCCUUCUUAUUUAUUAAAAAAAGAACUAGCUCGACCUCUGCUCAACUACAGAAUCCUGCCAGGACAAACCAGACCCGUUGCUUCAAGAUUCCUAACACUACCGCUUCAAAACAAGUGAGAAAUUGUGAGCUGCAAGAUUCCUACACAGUGAGGUUACCUGAAGAGCGCAAGUUUUUCUUGAUUUGUUACUCCCCAAACUGUGUUGAUGACAUAUAUUGAAAUUUAAGUAAAAUUGUAUUUACCUAAAAACUCACUACGCCAAAAAUGUUAAAUUGUUGAUUUUGUUUGUUUGUAAAUAUAAAGGAGGAAUAAAGAGCUUAAACUUUUAGACCUGAUCUACUGAGUAGAAGGAAUUGUUGCAUUCGAACAAAAAGUUGUAUCCAAAAUCCAUGAUGCGGUCCGCACACUGAACAAAGUCUAUCAAAAAUACAUUUUUUUUAAAAAUGUAUUUUAAACUUCCAUACUGAUGAAGUGCAGUGUGUAAGUUAAAAACAGACCAACGAGAAAAUGUUUCAGA